GGAGAGGAGAGGAGAGGAGAGGAGAGGAGAGGAGAGGAGAGGAGAGGAGAGGAGAGGAGAGGAGAGGAGAGGAGAGGAGAGGAGAGAAGAGAAGAGAAGAGAAGAGAAGAGAAGAGAAGAGAAGAGAAGAGAAGAGAAGAGAAGAGAAGAGAAGAGAAGAGAAGAGAAGAGAAGAGAAGAGAAGAGAAGAGAAGAGAAGAGAAGAGAAGAGAAGAGAAGAGAAGAGAAGAGAAGAGAAGAGAAGAGAGAAGAAACCACCAAAACAAGUCAAACCAAACCACUACAACCAACAGCAAAACACACACCAAAACCAACCACACAAAAAAUCUUGGCAGAUUUCUGACUUGAUACCUUCGACAUCCUGCCACAGGAGAGAACUGAAGCAGAGAUGUAAUGGGAAGACCUUUACAAGCAAACAACCUGGACCUUUCUUUACACUUUCAAACAGGUUGACACAGGUACAAACUGUAAGCAGAUUUAGAAACUACAGCGUUACUUUAUCAGAGAUCUUCUGCACUUCAGGUCUGAGAACAGGAUGUUAAGAAAGAAUACUCUCAGCUAUGCAACAGAGCAGAUCCCAUUCUGGGUUACUUGACCAGAAGAAGCAGCUGAAAUGGAAGACUGCAUUUUGCACUCAUUCUCUCAAGGUGUCAUUGUGAGCUUAAAGUGGUUUUAGCUGUGGAUAUUCCACAUGCCACAAUCAACACUUGAUGGUCACUAUCUUUGUAAUCCAUGUAAUUAAGACAAUGGGCAAAACAGAACUCAUUUAUUUAUAAUAUAGCGCUAUUAUUAGUGUCUGCUUCUAAGAAACCACAUGUGAGGCCCCGUGAUGUGAUUAAUCAGGCAUUCCAGCUGCUUUUGAGUGAUCCCAGCACUGACAACUGAAGCAGGAGGAAUUCUUCUCCAGUGUAGCACAGUUUAUGACAUCCUGUUAUGCAGUCUGAAAUGAACGCCCAUGUCUGAGUGAAAGAAAGCUAAACACUUUGUAUGAGAAUGUACAUAAUCACUAAGAAUUUGGCAAGGACAAAAGCCAAAUCCAGGGCCGUUGAUUUGACAGUCUCAUGUCUCAUCCAACAUCUUCUGUUCUGGUCUUGCUUCUUUCCUAAAUUAUGAAUAUGUUCUUGGCCUGGUAGAAGGUACACAGCACAGAUCUUCUGAGGCACGGAUGAAUUUGGGAAAAAGCAGACCUGCACUAGAUGCUUAGCUGCAGUGUCUGAUUUUACAGAGCAAAAAUAUACUUUCUUCUCUGUCUACUCAGCAGUUUUGAUCAUCAGAAGAUUUUGAAAGCCUUUUUAAUAAUAAAAAAGAAACACAGGUAUACUCAUUCCUGGAGCAAAAAACUACAGAAAAGGUUGUGAAGUAAACCAAGUCUUUCACCUACAGUUAUGUUAAGGCAAUCCGCUUAAAGGGGAAACAACAGAUGACACAGAUUACAUAUUAAGCAGGACCCAAUGAAAUAAAUACACACCACUGGCAUUGUGUCUCACAGGCUUAUGUAUACAUUUGUGCUACGCUGAAGUUGAUUUAUGGAGUAUAUAUGCACAUGUGGCUACAGAGCUGGCCAAAUCACUCAUUGCAGAUAAAUCUGGAAUUUAUUCAAUAGAUCUCAAAUCUACUUUUUUGUUAUUUCAGUGAAAUAAAUUGAUGAUUGAGUGACAUACAAUAAACAAUGUAUUUACAUGACUGAAAGAAACUGUUGAGCCUAUGAUUUAGCUCCCAUGCACACAGAAGCAACAGCAUCAUGCACUAUUGUUCUCUGGAAUUUGAAACUAUUCAUGAUUAACUGUUAAGAUUAUUGAACCACCUUUCCCUAUAUCCGGGUAUUAUGUCUAAAAUGCUAUGGGAUAAUUUUGCUGCAGGCAAAUUACGUUAAUGCAAUCUUGUUCCUGCCGUUCCAAACUCAAACUGGACAGCCCUCCACAAUUCAGUGCAUCCACAGCUUGCUCAAUAGCACCUCUCUGUGAUGUGAGGAAUGCCAAUUCCUGCUCUCUAGCAAUCCAGUUUCACGCCCAGGCUGAUUAAAUAAACUUAGGAGUCUCUGUAGAUGAUUGUACUCAAGAAAGUGCAUUAAAGCUAUAAGAUGCAGAAGAUAACAUGAAGGUGAGAACGCCUGUCUCUUAGAGUAAUGAUGUGAGAUCUUGUUGAAUGGAAAUCUCUCUGAAGAGCCCAGCAUUACCACCAGUCAAAAAAAAAAAAAAAAAAAAAAAAAAAAAAAAAAAGGCUCAAUUUUAUUACUUUUGUUCCCAGCACCUAUUUUCUUAGUAAUUAUAGGAGACUAAAACAAGUAGGAGAGCUCUCACCAUUACCAACUGAAAAAGA
RNAcentral lists this long non-coding RNA (2319 nucleotides) under Gallus gallus (chicken). RNAcentral's name for it is "lncRNA (ENSGALG00010005062.1)". The record is from RNAcentral. Lineage: Eukaryota; Metazoa; Chordata; Aves; Galliformes; Phasianidae.